AGAGUUUGAUCAUGGCUCAGGAUGAACGCUGGCGGCGUGCUUAACACAUGCAAGUCGAACGGAGGACCCUUGACGGAGUUUUCGGACAACAGAUAGGAAUCCUUAGUGGCGGACGGGUGAGUAACGCGUGAGGAACCUGCCUUGGAGAGGGGAAUAACACAGAGAAAUUUGUGCUAAUACCGCAUGACGCAGUUGGGUCGCAUGGCUCUGACUGCCAAAGAUUUAUCGCUCUGAGAUGGCCUCGCGUCUGAUUAGCUAGUUGGCGGGGUAACGGCCCACCAAGGCGACGAUCAGUAGCCGGACUGAGAGGUUGGCCGGCCACAUUGGGACUGAGACACGGCCCAGACUCCUACGGGAGGCAGCAGUGGGGAAUAUUGGGCAAUGGGCGCAAGCCUGACCCAGCAACGCCGCGUGAAGGAAGAAGGCUUUCGGGUUGUAAACUUCUUUUAUGUAGGACGAAACAAAUGACGGUACUACAUGAAUAAGCUCCGGCUAACUACGUGCCAGCAGCCGCGGUAAUACGUAGGGAGCAAGCGUUAUCCGGAUUUACUGGGUGUAAAGGGCGUGUAGGCGGGAAAGCAAGUCAGAUGUGAAAACUAUGGGCUCAACCCAUAGCCUGCAUUUGAAACUGUUUUUCUUGAGUACUGGAGAGGCAGGCGGAAUUCCGUGUGUAGCGGGUGAAAUGCGUAGAUAUACGGAGGAACACCAGUGGCGAAGGCGGCCUGCUGGACAGCAACUGACGCUAAGGCGCGAAAGCGUGGGGAGCAAACAGGAUUAGAUACCCUGGUAGUCCACGCUGUAAACGAUCGAUACUAGGKGUGGGGGGACUGACCCCCUCCGUGCCGCAGCAAACGCAAUAAGUAUCGCACCUGGGGAGUACGAUCGCAAGGUUGAAACUCAAAGGAAUUGACGGGGGCCCGCACAAGCGGUGGAGUAUGUGGUUUAAUUCGAAGCAACGCGAAAAACCUUACCAGGGCUUGACAUCCCUCUGAAAGAUCUCUUAACCGAGAUCCCCCUUCGGGCAGAGGUGACAGGUGGUGCAUGGUUGUCGUCAGCUCGUGUCGUGAGAUGUUGGGUUAAGUGCCGCAACGAGCGCAACCCUUGUCGUCAGUUACUAACAUUUGGUUGAGGACUCUGGCGAGACUGCCGAGGUUAACUCGGAGGAAGGUGGGGAUGACGUCAAAUCAUCAUGCCCCUUAUGUUCUGGGCUACACACGUGCUACAAUGGUCGGUACAAUGAGAAGCAGAGUCGCGAGGCGGAGCAAAUCACCAAAACCGAUCCCAGUUCGGAUUGCAGGCUGCAACUCGCCUGCAUGAAGUCGGAGUUGCUAGUAAUCGCGAGUCAGCAUGUCGCGGUGAAUGCGUUCCCGGGUCUUGUACACACCGCCCGUCACACCAUGGAAGUUGGGGGCGCCCAAAGUUGGCUAAUUAAUCUGCUACCUAAGGCGAAACCAAUGACUGGGGUGAAGUCGUAACAAGGUAACCGUA
RNAcentral lists this ribosomal RNA (1488 nucleotides) under uncultured rumen bacterium. Its description in RNAcentral is "bacterial SSU rRNA". It matches the Rfam family "Bacterial small subunit ribosomal RNA". The record is from RNAcentral.